RNAcentral lists this ribosomal RNA (430 nucleotides) under uncultured bacterium. RNAcentral describes it as "bacterial SSU rRNA". It matches the Rfam family "Bacterial small subunit ribosomal RNA", at positions 355 to 776 of the family's 1533-position model. The record is from RNAcentral.
UGGGGAAUUUUUGUCAAUGGGGGAAACCCUGAACAAGCAACGCCGCGUGAAGGACGAAGACCUUCGGGUUGUAAACUUCUGUCGGAGGGGACGAAAGCGGUCGAGGCUAAUAUCCUCGGCCGUUGACGGUACCCUACGAGGAAGCCCCGGCUAACUCCGUGCCAGCAGCCGCGGUAAUACGGGGGGGGCAAGCGUUGUUCGGAAUUACUGGGCGUAAAGGGCGCGUAGGCGGGCGGGCAAGUCUCUCGUGAAAUCCCACGGCUCAACCGUGGAACUGCGGGAGAUACUGCCUGUCUUGAGUCCGGGAGAGGAGGGUGGAAUUCCCAGUGUAGCGGUGAAAUGCGUAGAUAUUGGGAGGAACACCGGUGGCGAAGGCGGCUCUCUGGACCGGUACUGACGCUGAGGCGCGAAAGCUAGGGGAGCAAACGGG